RNAcentral lists this ribosomal RNA (254 nucleotides) under uncultured bacterium. Its description in RNAcentral is "partial 16S ribosomal RNA". It matches the Rfam family "Bacterial small subunit ribosomal RNA", at positions 524 to 776 of the family's 1533-position model. The record is from RNAcentral.
UACGUAGGGUGCAAGCGUUAAUCGGAAUUACUGGGCGUAAAGCGUGCGCAGGCGGUUUUGUAAGUCUGUCGUGAAAUCCCCGGGCUCAACCUGGGAAUUGCGAUGGAGACUGCAAGGCUGGAGUCUGGCAGAGGGGGGGUAGAAUUCCACGUGUAGCAGUGAAAUGCGUAGAGAUGUGGAGGAACACCGAUGGCGAAGGCAGCCCCCUGGGUCAAGACUGACGCUCAUGCACGAAAGCGUGGGGAGCAAACAGG